This 468-nucleotide ribosomal RNA is filed under the name uncultured bacterium. Its description in RNAcentral is "partial 16S ribosomal RNA". It matches the Rfam family "Bacterial small subunit ribosomal RNA", at positions 28 to 507 of the family's 1533-position model. The record is from RNAcentral.
GACGAACGCUGGCGGCGUGCUUAACACAUGCAAGUCGAACGGAAAGGCCCUGCUUUUGUGGGGUGCUCGAGUGGCGAACGGGUGAGUAACACGUGAGUAACCUGCCCUUGACUUUGGGAUAACUUCAGGAAACUGGGGCUCAUACCGGAUAGGAGCUCCUGCUGCAUGGUGGGGGUUGGAAAGUUUCGGCGGUUGGGGAUGGACCCGCGGCUUAUCAGCUUGUUGGUGGGGUAGUGGCUUACCAAGGCUUUGACGGGUAGCCGGCCUGAGAGGGUGACCGGCCACAUUGGGACUGAGAUACGGCCCAGACUCCUACGGGAGGCAGCAGUGGGGAAUAUUGCACAAUGGGCGGAAGCCUGAUGCAGCAACGCCGCGUGCGGGAUGACGGCCUUCGGGUUGUAAACCGCUUUCGCCUGUGACGAAGCGUGAGUGACGGUAAUGGGUAAAGAAGCACCGGCUAACUACGUG